Molecule: non-coding RNA, 180 nt
Organism: Pseudomonas syringae pv. pisi str. 1704B
Lineage: Bacteria; Pseudomonadati; Pseudomonadota; Gammaproteobacteria; Pseudomonadales; Pseudomonadaceae
Source: Rfam
ACCCCCGCUAGUGUUGCUCUACUGGGUUGCGAUCGAGCUUAGCCUCGUUCAUUUUUUUAUACAACAAGCCGUUAAGAAUAGAAGACAGGCCGCUCUAGCUCGUAUUUAACAACGGUCAAAAACGGAAUUAAACGCCCUAAAUAGCAGCAAAAAAGGUCAUUUGGCGCAGUUUUAGGGCAA